GGGGAUAUAGCUCAAUUGGGAGAGCAUCUGCUUUGCAAGCAGGGGGUUAGGGGUUCAAUUCCCCUUAUCUCCA
This 73-nucleotide transfer RNA is filed under the name Spirochaetes bacterium GWB1_36_13. Its description in RNAcentral is "tRNA-Ala". It matches the Rfam family "tRNA". Rfam says of the family: Transfer RNA (tRNA) molecules are approximately 80 nucleotides in length. Their secondary structure includes four short double-helical elements and three loops (D, anti-codon, and T loops). Lineage: Bacteria; Pseudomonadati; Spirochaetota. The record is from RNAcentral. RNAcentral also lists the same sequence under 1 other name.